This 449-nucleotide ribosomal RNA is filed under the name Filifactor alocis. RNAcentral describes it as "bacterial SSU rRNA". It matches the Rfam family "Bacterial small subunit ribosomal RNA", at positions 9 to 439 of the family's 1533-position model. The record is from RNAcentral. Lineage: Bacteria; Bacillati; Bacillota; Clostridia; Peptostreptococcales; Filifactoraceae.
GAGUUUGAUCCUGGCUCAGGAUGAACGCUGGCGGCGUGCUUAACACAUGCAAGUCGAACGAACGACUAUUAACAGAACCUUUCGGGGCGAAGAUGAUAGAAGUUAGUGGCGGACGGGUGCGUAACGCGUGGGUAAUCUGCCUUUGUCAAAGGAAUAACUAUUCGAAAGAAUAGCUAAAACCGUAUAAAAUAUUAAUAGGGCAUCCUAAUAAUAUCAAAACGAUAGUGGACAAAGAUGAGCCCGCGUCUGAUUAGCUUGUUGGUGAGAUAAAAGCCCACCAAGGCAACGAUCAGUAGCCGACCUGAGAGGGUGAACGGCCACAUUGGAACUGAGACACGGUCCAAACUCCUACGGGAGGCAGCAGUGGGGAAUAUUGCACAAUGGGGGGAACCCUGAUGCAGCAACGCCGCGUGAGUGAAGAAGGCAUUCGUGUCGUAAAACUCUGUAGU